Molecule: ribosomal RNA, 1000 nt
Filed under: Aquihelicascus thalassioideus
Lineage: Eukaryota; Fungi; Ascomycota; Dothideomycetes; Pleosporales; Morosphaeriaceae
Description: SSU rRNA
Rfam family: Eukaryotic small subunit ribosomal RNA
Source: RNAcentral
GCUCAUUAAAUCAGUUAUCGUUUAUUUGAUAGUACCUUACUACUUGGAUAACCGUGGUAAUUCUAGAGCUAAUACAUGCUAAAAACCCCGACUUCGGAAGGGGUGUAUUUAUUAGAUAAAAAACCAAUGCCCUUCGGGGCUCUUUGGUGAUUCAUGAUAACUUCUCAGAUCGCAUGGCCUUGCGCCGGCGACGGUUCAUUCAAAUUUCUGCCCUAUCAACUUUCGAUGGUAAGGUAUUGGCUUACCAUGGUUUCAACGGGUAACGGGGAAUUAGGGUUCGAUUCCGGAGAGGGAGCCUGAGAAACGGCUACCACAUCCAAGGAAGGCAGCAGGCGCGCAAAUUACCCAAUCCCGACACGGGGAGGUAGUGACAAUAAAUACUGAUACAGGGCUCUUUUGGGUCUUGUAAUUGGAAUGAGUACAAUUUAAACCUCUUAACGAGGAACAAUUGGAGGGCAAGUCUGGUGCCAGCAGCCGCGGUAAUUCCAGCUCCAAUAGCGUAUAUUAAAGUUGUUGCAGUUAAAAAGCUCGUAGUUGAACCUUGGGCCUGGCUGGCAGGUCCGCCUCACCGCGUGUACUUGACCGGCCGGGCCUUCUCUUCUGGAGAACCUCAUGCCCUUUACUGGGCGUGUUGGGGACCAGGACUUUUACUUUGAAAAAAUUAGAGUGUUCAAAGCAGGCCUUUGCUCGAAUAUGUUAGCAUGGAAUAAUGGAAUAGGACGUGCGGUCCUAUUUUGUUGGUUUCUAGGACCGCCGUAAUGAUUAAUAGGGACAGUCGGGGGCAUCAGUAUUCAAUUGUCAGAGGUGAAAUUCUUGGAUUUAUUGAAGACUAACUACUGCGAAAGCAUUUGCCAAGGAUGUUUUCAUUAAUCAGUGAACGAAAGUUAGGGGAUCGAAGACGAUCAGAUACCGUCGUAGUCUUAACCAUAAACUAUGCCGACUAGGGAUCGGGCGAUGUUUCAAUAUUGACUCGCUCGGCACCUUACGAGAAAUCAAAGUG